Molecule: non-coding RNA, 153 nt
Filed under: Alphaproteobacteria bacterium
Lineage: Bacteria; Pseudomonadati; Pseudomonadota; Alphaproteobacteria
Description: 6S RNA
Rfam family: 6S / SsrS RNA
About the family: E. coli 6S RNA was the first non coding RNA to be sequenced, but its function was unknown until recently.
Source: RNAcentral
CGAAAGCUGAGCUUUUUGUUAGGAACUUUAAUCCUUGGGGCCAUAAGUAUUCUAAGGGAGCCGUCACUGUUUUAGCCGAGGUUAAAGUAAAUGGUGCCCACCUGGUUAACAGGCAACAUAGGAUAACUUGUCCGACGAUUGUUUGGCUUUCGU